Molecule: long non-coding RNA, 329 nt
Organism: Drosophila miranda
Lineage: Eukaryota; Metazoa; Arthropoda; Insecta; Diptera; Drosophilidae
Exons: 3
Source: RefSeq, a predicted model, not a curated record
UAAACGUCUCUUAAUGCAGCCAGGUGGCAAGAUAAUCGAACUGGACGAGGAUAAUUGGCACUUGAUGCCCAAGGGAGAAUGGAUGAUUGAAUUCUUUGCCCCUUGGUGCCCGGCUUGCAAGAACUUGCAAGAACCACUUGGGAGCGGUUUGCACGCGUUGCGAAAGAUGUCAAAGUGGAGGUGGCCAAAAUCGAUGUGACCACAUCGCCAUUCCUCAGCGGACGUUUCUUUGUCACAGCCUUGCCCACCAUCUAUCACGUCAAAGAUGGCGAAUUCCGUCCGUAUCGUGGAGCCCGCGACGGGGACGCUCUGCUGUACUUUGUGAAGAA